Molecule: ribosomal RNA, 534 nt
Filed under: Escherichia coli
Lineage: Bacteria; Pseudomonadati; Pseudomonadota; Gammaproteobacteria; Enterobacterales; Enterobacteriaceae
Also listed under: 1 other name
Description: partial 23S ribosomal RNA
Rfam family: Bacterial large subunit ribosomal RNA
Source: RNAcentral
GGGUUGUGAGGUUAAGCGACUAAGCGUACACGGUGGAUGCCCUGGCAGUCAGAGGCGAUGAAGGACGUGCUAAUCUGCGAUAAGCGUCGGUAAGGUGAUAUGAACCGUUAUAACCGGCGAUUUCCGAAUGGGGAAACCCAGUGUGUUUCGACACACUAUCAUUAACUGAAUCCAUAGGUUAAUGAGGCGAACCGGGGGAACUGAAACAUCUAAGUACCCCGAGGAAAAGAAAUCAACCGAGAUUCCCCCAGUAGCGGCGAGCGAACGGGGAGCAGCCCAGAGCCUGAAUCAGUGUGUGUGUUAGUGGAAGCGUCUGGAAAGGCGCGCGAUACAGGGUGACAGCCCCGUACACAAAAAUGCACAUACUGUGAGCUCGAUGAGUAGGGCGGGACACGUGGUAUCCUGUCUGAAUAUGGGGGGACCAUCCUCCAAGGCUAAAUACUCCUGACUGACCGAUAGUGAACCAGUACCGUGAGGGAAAGGCGAAAAGAACCCCGGCGAGGGGAGUGAAAAAGAACCUGAAACCGUGUACGU